GGAGGGUGCGAGCGUUGUUCGGAAUCACUGGGCGUAAAGGGCGUGUAGGCGGUCCGCUAAGUCUGAUGUGAAAGCCCGGGGCUCACCCCCGGAAGGGCAUUGGAAACUGGCGGACUCGAGUCCCGGAGAGGAAGGUGGAAUUCCUGGUGUAGCGGUGAAAUGCGUAGAUAUCAGGAGGAAUACCGGUGGCGAAGGCGGCCUUCUGGACGGUGACUGACGCUGAGACGCGAAAGCGUGGGGAUCAAACAGGAUUAGAUACCCUGGUAGUCCACGCUGUAAACGAUGAGCACUAGGUGUCGUGGGUAUUGACCCCCGCGGUGCCGACGCUAACGCAUUAAGUGCUCCGCCUGGGGACUACGGCCGCAAGGUUA
RNAcentral lists this ribosomal RNA (371 nucleotides) under uncultured bacterium. Its description in RNAcentral is "bacterial SSU rRNA". It matches the Rfam family "Bacterial small subunit ribosomal RNA", at positions 527 to 896 of the family's 1533-position model. The record is from RNAcentral.